ACGGGUGAGUAAUAUAUGAGAAUCUGCCUUUUAGUGGAGAAUACCUUCGAGAAAUUGAAGUUAAUACUGCAUAUGUCCUUCGGGAGAAAGAUGGCCUCUUUGCUGUCGCUAAAAGAUGAGCUCAUACACUAUCAGCUAGUUGGUGGGGUAAAGGCCUACCAAGGCUAUGACGGUUAGCCGGCCUGAGAGGGUGUACGGCCACACUGGAACUUAGACACGGUCCAGACUCCUACGGGAGGCAGCAGUGGGGAAUAUUGCGCAAUGGGCGAAAGCCUGACGCAGCGACGCCGCGUGGAGGAUGGAGGUCUUAGGAUUGUAAACUUCUGUUAAGUGGGAAGAAAAGUCUAUGCUUAAUACGCAUGGAAAAUGACGGUACCAUUAGAGAAAGCACCGGCUAACUUCGUGCCAGCAGCCGCGGUAAUACGAAGGGUGCAAGCGUUAUUCGGAAUCAUUGGGCGUAAAGGGUGUGUAGACGGUAUAUUAAGUCUAUUGUUAAAUCUUCUGGCCUAACCAGAAAUCAGCAGUGGAUACUGAAGUACUAGAGGGUGGAAGAGAGAAGUGGAAUUCUCGGAGUAGCGGUAAAAUGCGUA
Molecule: ribosomal RNA, 590 nt
Filed under: uncultured bacterium
Lineage: Bacteria
Description: bacterial SSU rRNA
Rfam family: Bacterial small subunit ribosomal RNA
Source: RNAcentral